Molecule: ribosomal RNA, 264 nt
Filed under: uncultured archaeon
Lineage: Archaea
Description: partial 16S ribosomal RNA
Rfam family: Archaeal small subunit ribosomal RNA
Source: RNAcentral
AGUCACUGACAUUAGAUACCCGUGUAGUCCAGGGUGUAAACGCUGCAGACUUGGUGUUGGAGGCCCUUCGGGGGUGUCCAGUGCCGGAGAGAAGUUGUUAAGUCUGCUACUUGGGAGUACGUCCGCAAGGAUGAAACUUAAAGGAAUUGGCGGGGGAGCACAACAACGGGUGGAGCCUGCGGUUUAAUUGGACUCAACGCCGGACAACUCACCGGGGACGACAGCAAUAUGUAGGCCAGGCUGAAGACCUUGCCUGAAUCGCUG